UGUUGAUUGUGAAAUGCCAGUUGAAGCAUAUGUCCUGUGAGCUUAGGGGUGCUACAAGUUGACCACUGCAGCAGUAAAGAUGACUCUGAAGAAUGGCGUGGGAUGGAUCCUUUCAAAUGCACUUGAGCAGCGGUCUCCAACCACAGGGCCACAGAGCUGGAGCUGGAUCUACCAUGAAGGACUUCUGAAUCCAGGAAGAGAGACUGACUGGGCAACAUGUUAUUCAGGGUCUCCCUCUGUUGUCCAAGGCUGGAGUGUAGUAGUGCUAUCGCAGCUGACUGCAGCCUCAACCUUCCAGGCUGAAGCGAUCCUCCUACCUCAACCUCCCACGUGGCUGAGACUACAGGUGCUUGACACUAUGCCCAACUAAUAUUUGGAAUUUUCGUAUACGU
Molecule: long non-coding RNA, 392 nt
Filed under: Pan troglodytes (chimpanzee)
Lineage: Eukaryota; Metazoa; Chordata; Mammalia; Primates; Hominidae
Description: lincRNA
Source: RNAcentral